This 71-nucleotide transfer RNA is filed under the name Patescibacteria group bacterium. Its description in RNAcentral is "tRNA-Gln". It matches the Rfam family "tRNA". Rfam says of the family: Transfer RNA (tRNA) molecules are approximately 80 nucleotides in length. Their secondary structure includes four short double-helical elements and three loops (D, anti-codon, and T loops). Further hydrogen bonds mediate the characteristic L-shaped molecular structure. tRNAs have two regions of fundamental functional importance: the anti-codon, which is responsible for specific mRNA codon recognition, and the 3' end, to which the tRNAs corresponding amino acid is attached (by aminoacyl-tRNA synthetases). tRNAs cope with the degeneracy of the genetic code in two manners: having more than one tRNA (with a specific anti-codon) for a particular amino acid; and 'wobble' base-pairing, i.e. permitting non-standard base-pairing at the 3rd anti-codon position. The record is from RNAcentral.
UGCCCGAUCGUCUAAUGGCAGGACAGCAGCCUUUGAAGCUGCACAUCUAGGUUCGAAUCCUAGUCGGGCAU